GCAUAUCAAUAAGCGGAGGAAAAGAAACCAACAGGGAUUGCCCUAGUUAACGGCGAAGUGAAGCGGCAACAGCUUCAAAUUUGAAAUCUGGCGUCUUUGGCGUCCGAGUUGUAAUUUGCAGAGGGCGCUUUGGCAUUGGCAGCGGUCCAAGUUCCUUGGAACAGGACGUCACAGAGGGUGAGAAUCCCGUACGUGGUCGCUAGCCUCUACCGUGUAAAGCCCCUUCGACGAGUCGAGUUGUUUGGGAAUGCAGCUCUAAAUGGGAGGUAAAUUUCUUCUAAAGCUAAAUACUGGCCAGAGACCGAUAGCGCACAAGUAGAGUGAUCGAAAGAUGAAAAGCACUUUGGAAAGAGAGUUAAAAAGCACGUGAAAUUGUUGAAAGGGAAGCGCUUGCAGCCAGACUUGCCUGUAGUUGCUCAUCCGGGUUUCUACCCGGUGCACUCUUCUAUAGGCAGGCCAGCAUCAGUUUGGGCGGUUGGAUAAAGGUCUCUGUCACGUACCUCCUCUCGGGGAGGCCUUAUAGGGGAGACGACAUGCAACCAGCCUGGACUGAGGUCCGCGCAUCUGCUAGGAUGCUGGCGUAAUGGCUGUAAGCGGCCCGUCUUGAAACACGGACCAAGGAGUCUAACAUCUAUGCGAGUGUUUGGGUGUCAAGCCCGAACGCGUAAUGAAAGUGAACGGAGGUGGGAACCUUUCGGGGUGCACCAUCGACCGAUCCUGAUGUCUUCGGAUGGAUUUGAGUAAGAGCAUAGCUGUUGGGACCCGAAAGAUGGUGAACUAUGCUUGAAUAGGGUGAAGCCAGAGGAAACUCUGGUGGAGGCUCGCAGCGGUUUCUGACGUGCAAAUCGAUCGUCAAAUUUGGGCAUAGGGGCGAAAGACUAAUCGAACUAUCUAGUAGCUGGUUCCUGCCGAA
RNAcentral lists this ribosomal RNA (913 nucleotides) under Stagonosporopsis ligulicola. RNAcentral's name for it is "partial large subunit ribosomal RNA". It matches the Rfam family "Eukaryotic large subunit ribosomal RNA", at positions 38 to 965 of the family's 3401-position model. The record is from RNAcentral. Lineage: Eukaryota; Fungi; Ascomycota; Dothideomycetes; Pleosporales; Didymellaceae.